ACCUGUUCAAUAUUCUAUUCAAGGAAGCUUCUUAAACAAUCGCAUAUUUUUAGAUACAAUGCGAACGAAUUAUCAGAGUUGUUGGACAAAAUUCAUGUCAUUGAUUAAGCUUUUUGAUUUAAUCAAAUUUGGCACUAAGUUGGAACAUUUGUGGUACUAAUUUUAGUGUGUUCCGCUAACGGUGGUAAAGUCGUCUAGAUUGAACUGCGCUAGUGUGAGACCCCAACGGCGAAGUUCUACGGUGCUUUAAAUCACUCGUUUGCCCUUACAGACUUAGUUUAUCUCUCGAAACUCUUAAGUUUGACCUCUGUACUCUUCUCCUGUAACGACACAACAUUUUCAGUGCUGCAAACUGUAGAGGUGAUCAUCUAUUCCGAAUCAGAAGGCGUCAGCUGGAGUGCGGGCUUUCUAACUGCAUUUGUUACAUCUUGCCCACGUUGGUUUAUAGCAGCUAAGUAAACUGAAAAGACGAUGUCGG
Molecule: long non-coding RNA, 478 nt
Organism: Varroa destructor (honeybee mite)
Lineage: Eukaryota; Metazoa; Arthropoda; Arachnida; Mesostigmata; Varroidae
Gene: cype
Source: RefSeq, a predicted model, not a curated record